Long non-coding RNA from Macrobrachium nipponense, 358 nucleotides. RefSeq lists it as uncharacterized. The transcript has 3 exons. The record is from RefSeq and is a predicted model, not a curated record. Lineage: Eukaryota; Metazoa; Arthropoda; Malacostraca; Decapoda; Palaemonidae.
UUGGCAAUAAAAAACUGUCCACUACUUAUGGUCCAUCCUAGAACAUCCCAGUACAUUUCAACUUCAUCCACCAUGGGUGUGCAAGAGGAACUUGUCGCCCUGAAGAGGAAGAGGGCAAUCAGCAAAAGGAAGUUCACCAGGAAGAUCCUGAUAACUGUGUUGAAUUACCUGAAUGUGGAGGAGACAGUGGGAGAUGCGUGAAAGAUGAUGACUGGGGAACUUGCUAUGGCUUAGCUGAACCAGCAGGUUGCCUUGAAAACAAUUGCACUUGUUGCAGGGAUUGUACCCCUAAUGCCCAGUGCACUGCUAAUCAAGGCUAUUGCUACAAUGGUACGAGUAGCUACAUGUGCACAGGUAC